This 271-nucleotide unclassified non-coding RNA is filed under the name air metagenome. Its description in RNAcentral is "partial contains small subunit ribosomal RNA, internal transcribed spacer 1, and 5.8S ribosomal RNA". The stretch from base 1 to 46 matches the Rfam family "Eukaryotic small subunit ribosomal RNA", at positions 1786 to 1831 of the family's 1831-position model. The record is from RNAcentral.
AAGUCGUAACAAGGUUUCCGUAGGUGAACCUGCGGAAGGAUCAUUAACGAAUUUCUCAAAGUUGCUUACAGCGUUGUGCGGCCUUUCGCAUAUGCUGAAGGUAGCUCUUGAGCAUUUCACACAUCCCCUGUGCACCUUAAGAGGGUAGCUGUUUUAUCUUGAGCGCGUCAGUGCUCGAUAGGACGUGUUGCCUUCUCUUUACAAAAUCUCAUGUCUAGAAUGUCGAUAACAUUAAACAAAAUAACUUUCAACAACGGAUCUCUUGGCUCUC